CCUACGGGUGGCUGCAGUGGGGAAUAUUGGACAAUGGGCGAAAGCCUGAUCCAGCCAUGCCGCGAGUGUGAAGAAGGCCUUCGGGUUGUAAAGCACUUUCAGUGGGGAAGAAAGCCUUGGGGCUAAUACCCUCGAGGAAGGACAUCACCCACAGAAGAAGCACCGGCUAACUCCGUGCCAGCAGCCGCGGUAAUACGGAGGGUGCGAGCGUUAAUCGGAAUUACUGGGCGUAAAGCGCGCGUAGGCGGUCUGAUAAGCCGGUUGUGAAAGCCCCGGGCUCAACCUGGGAACGGCAUCCGGAACUGUCAGGCUAGAGUGCAGGAGAGGAAGGUAGAAUUCCCGGUGUAGCGGUGAAAUGCGUAGAGAUCGGGAGGAAUACCAGUGGCGAAGGCGGCCUUCUGGACUGACACUGACGCUGAGGUGCGAAAGCGUGGGUAGCAAACAGGAUUAGAUACCCGAGUAGUC
Molecule: ribosomal RNA, 465 nt
Filed under: Vreelandella stevensii
Lineage: Bacteria; Pseudomonadati; Pseudomonadota; Gammaproteobacteria; Oceanospirillales; Halomonadaceae
Description: partial 16S ribosomal RNA
Rfam family: Bacterial small subunit ribosomal RNA
Source: RNAcentral